UGAUUUCUGAAGUAAGGAAGGCUAAAC
Molecule: non-coding RNA, 27 nt
Filed under: Mus musculus (house mouse)
Lineage: Eukaryota; Metazoa; Chordata; Mammalia; Rodentia; Muridae
Source: RNAcentral